Molecule: long non-coding RNA, 3125 nt
Organism: Mesocricetus auratus (golden hamster)
Lineage: Eukaryota; Metazoa; Chordata; Mammalia; Rodentia; Cricetidae
Exons: 4
Source: RefSeq, a predicted model, not a curated record
GGCAAAUGGAUCCCUGUGAGUUCGAGGCCAGCCUAGUCUACAAAGAUUACUGAGUUGACUGGAUUGAAGCGAUGGUGACAAAGGUCUCUUGGCCUACCUAGUUGGCUGAUUUCAACACUGGUGACUAUCUGUUGCUGGUCACUAGUAGCUUAACAGACACAACACUGUUGGUGACACAGGGUUUCAGCAACCCUCCUCCCCGAAACCAGACUUAAGGAAGCCACCAAAAAUAACUGGAUUUGGAACACCUGAGGAUAGUGGCUUGUGAGGUGCCUACCAUCACCCUGGCUCUGGAAGAGAGAAUGGAUGCUGAUGUUGUAAUGACAGCAGUUCUGGAGAGAGUGUGCAAAAACCCUAGGGGUCCUCAACUCUCAGGCCAACAUUCCCAAGAGGAUUUCCACACAUACACAGACAUGGUCAAGCCUGGUCAUGAUCAGGCCAAGGCCAGAACGAUCUCCCACACUGGUUCCCUGCUCAGAACUCACUGGUGGCAAUGACAAGCCCCUGGAAGGACAUCUGCACUUCUGACGCAGCCUCAGUUUGCGCUCCUGUACCAACCAUCUCCUACCCCACACUCUACCUCCCAACCAUCGCCUCACCUGUCCAGGGGUUGGGCUUCGCAGGUCUUUUGCCCAUGAGACACCAUCCCCAUAACCUCUGACCCCACCCUUCCCCACCCCUAGGCCAUUCAGAGAGCCAAUUUCCCAGCUGGGGAAGAAGCUCAGCGAAAGUGAGAACUUCCAGCACAUGAGAGCCCCAGGUGUGGUGGCUGUAAUCGCAAUGUUUGAGAGGCUGAGGCAGGAUGGUUCCUAAAGGCCAAAGCCAGUCUGGACUACACUGAAACACCGAUACCCCCCCCCAAAAAAAAACCAAAUACAAAACAACAACAAAAAGCCACACCAGAAAACAAAACAAAACUGCAAGCGGCUUCACAAACUCUUGUGUGUAAAUCCAAUAUCCAGUAUCAGUUGCAGAUGAGGGGCAGAGACAAUGACAUUCACCUGUGUAGCACAGAGUUUGGGCUAAUGGAAGAAGGUACAUGGUAAAAAUUGCUGAUGGAAUGAAGAAAUGGGAGAUGACAAGGGAAAUUUUUAAGAGGCCAGAAGAUUCAGGGUGGCACAUAGACCCCCGACUUCACAGCCCUGAGAUUCACAGGAGAGAAUGACAGCCCCGAGCAGAUGCCUGUGUGUCCAAUCCACAGGCUGUGAAACUAAGGCUUGGGGGAUGGUGAGCCAAGACUGAAAGACAUAACUGUUCAGAUCUUGAGCCCUGUGACUCAGCUGUGGGUCCUCUCUUUCCCUCUGAGCUCAGGUCUACAGGGUCUAUCGGAUCAGGGUCUACCUGGGUAAAAGCAGUCUGUAUUUCCACUUAAUAGUUUCAGUCUACAAAGGACACAGCAAGUGACGAACGUGCAAAGAUGAGAUGAGAUAGAUGGUGCCAAGUUAGAAGUUAGAUCACACUGACUCCAUCUCAAGCUACCCACAGCGGAGACCCUCACCCUCGGACCCAUGGCUCCCCAGUCCUAAGAGUGGGCCAGGGCCCCUCUCAGAGGAUACCCAAGUGGCCUAAAGCUUGUACCUUUGGCGGGUCCAGCACCAUUGGAAGUAGUUCAUUUCUCCCAAAUCUUAGCUGGCUAAAGAGCACAGUGACAAGAACUUCCAUGUGAACCUGAGGUUGCGGAAGGGAAUCAAUCCAUCACGGUCCGCCACAAACGGGGGAGGGACAGCGUGGGGACGGGGAUGCACCAGGAAGACAGGGAGGACAGGGCAGAUAAGGGAUCUCAGCCACCAGAAAGAUAGCAGGGACAAGUGACAAAGGAGCUGGGAGCCUGGCUGGUGCUUGCAGAGAAAGAAGAGCAUAUUAAAAUUUAAACAAAGCCCACCCCAGGGGAAGCAUCCAGGCUCCCUCUCCCAACCUGCGCCUCCCAUUUCCAGCUUCAGUCGUCAGGUUCAUAUAAACUGAAACAGGGGCUGGGGCUGUGUGCUUUUGUUUUUUGUUACCCAUUUGGGCAGUGGCAGCUGGCAUAUUGGGCCUCUUGGGGCAAGGCAGUUUGGGCCUCCCCAAGCCUAUGGCCUUUCCAGGGAGGCUUGAGAGAAGACAGCAGGCUGGGCUGGGUCUCAGCUGGACCAGUCCUGUCAGGACAGGAGGGUCCAGGGGGUGGGGGAGUAUUGUGAUGUGUGGACAUGGGCAAACACAGGCCUCAAUGUCAGCAAGAGAGGGUAAGAAAGGAGCUAAGGAGAGAAGGCCCAAGAACACCCCCACCCCCGCCACACACACACCAACUUCCACGACGAACGUACCAUGUGGGGGAGAAGGAGGAAGAGGAAGAGCCUGGCAGGACAAGGAACAGGAAGGCCCAAUUUAGCCCACACAAAAGCUACUUCCUCAAGAAAGGCCGUCUAACUUCCCUCUGUUCGCUUACCAGAUGAUGGUGAUGGGAGGAUUAGGGUGUGGGAGGCCCAAGUCUGGGCAGAGGCAGACACAGGAUACCGUGAGCUCCCUCCACCCCAGCGAGGCCCAGCAGGGCCAGCCUCAGCAUUUUCCCACAGGGGUCUCUAGCUUUUGGACAGGAUGUUUGUUUUAGGGCUAUCUUCCUACCAGAGAGACAGGCCUCAGUUCCCUGACAGUCUCCCUUCUGCCCUAAGCUCUAGGAGGUUUCCCAGGGAACCACAGACUGACUAUUGCUUGAGGUUAGAAAGGGCAAGCCAGGGCCUCUGAACCCAGACCUGGAGUUCAUGGAGCAAAACAGAGGCACCAAGAUAGAAUUUUCUUUCCCAGGCCAACGAAGCUAGCAUCUCCAAGGCUUCUUAGCUAUGUAUGUGGGAAAGACUUGGAAAGAGAAGUCUUAAAACUUAUAAUCCCCCCAAAACCAAAACCAAACAAACAGACAACAGUGUGAAAACAAAAGUUGGUGUCCAGUGAAAAUAAUCCAAAACGCAAUGGGCAUUUAUUUCUGCAAGGCGAUUUAACCACCUAACUCUGUCCUUGAGGAGAGAAUACAGGCUGUCUUAGUUGUUUUUCUCUGUGUGUAGCUUCUGGUGCCCUGAACUCGCUCUGUAGACCAGGCUGGCCUUGAACUAACAGAGAUCUGCCUACCUCUGGGCCUGAGUGCUGGGAUUAAUGGC